This 566-nucleotide ribosomal RNA is filed under the name uncultured bacterium. RNAcentral describes it as "partial 16S ribosomal RNA". It matches the Rfam family "Bacterial small subunit ribosomal RNA", at positions 355 to 914 of the family's 1533-position model. The record is from RNAcentral.
UGGGGGAUUUUGGACAAUGGGGGAAACCCUGAUCCAGCCAUCCCGCGUGUGCGAUGAAGGCCUUCGGGUUGUAAAGCACUUUUGGCAGGAAAGAAACGUCGCGGGUUAAUACCCCGCGAAACUGACGGUACCUGCAGAAUAAGCACCGGCUAACUACGUGCCAGCAGCCGCGGUAAUACGUAGGGUGCAAGCGUUAAUCGGAAUUACUGGGCGUAAAGCGUGCGCAGGCGGUUCGGAAAGAAAGAUGUGAAAUCCCAGAGCUUAACUUUGGAACUGCAUUUUUAACUACCGGGCUAGAGUGUGUCAGAGGGAGGUGGAAUUCCGCGUGUAGCAGUGAAAUGCGUAGAUAUGCGGAGGAACACCGAUGGCGAAGGCAGCCUCCUGGGAUAACACUGACGCUCAUGCACGAAAGCGUGGGGAGCAAACAGGAUUAGAUACCCUGGUAGUCCACGCCCUAAACGAUGUCAACUAGCUGUUGGGGCCUUCGGGCCUUGGUAGCGCAGCUAACGCGUGAAGUUGACCGCCUGGGGAGUACGGUCGCAAGAUUAAAACUUAAAUGAAUUGAC